AAUUGUUAUAAAAGUUUUAUUUUGGCUUAAAAAUUUAUUUUUAGUUUGAAUUAUAUGUAAAUUUUUGUGUGAAUUUUUAUUUGUUUAAAAAAUAAAUAAAUUUUAUUUAUUUACAGUAAUUAAUAUUAUUAAUUAAAGAAAUUUAGAAAUAGAAAUAUUAAAAAAUAUUAACUAAAUUUGUGCCAGCAGUUGCGGUUAUACAAAUAAUAUAAAUAAAUUUUUUUAAUAAAAGUUAAAUAUUUAAUUUUAAAUUUAUAAUAAAUUAUUAAGUGAAAUUUUAAUUUAUUUUAUUUUUUAAAAAAAAAUUAAUUGAGGCUAUAAAAUUUUAAUAAAAAACUAGGAUUAGAUACCCUAUUAUUUAAAAUAUAAUUAAAUUGUUUGAGUAGUAAUAGAUAUAUUCUUGAAACUUAAAAAAUUUGGCGGUAUUUUAGUCUAUUCAGAGGAACUUGUUUUGUAAUCGAUAAUCCACGUUGUACCUUACUUGAAUUUGUUAAUCAAUUUAUAUACCGUUGUUAUUAGAAUAUUUUAUAAGAAUAAUAAUGUUCUGAAAUUUUUAUUAAAAUUAAUAUCAAAUCAAGGUGUAGUUUAUGUUUAAGUAAAAAUGAGUUACAAUAAAAUUAUUUAAAUGGAAUUAAAUAUGAAAAAUUUAAUGAAAGUGGAUUUGAUAGUAAAAUUAUAGAGAUAAAUAAUUUGAUUUUAGCUCUAAAAUAUGUACAUAUCGCCCGUCGCUCUUAUUAUUAAAGUAAGAUAAGUCGUAACAUAGUAGAUGUACUGGAAAGUGUAUCUAGAAU
RNAcentral lists this non-coding RNA (791 nucleotides) under Graptomyza semicircularia. Lineage: Eukaryota; Metazoa; Arthropoda; Insecta; Diptera; Syrphidae. The record is from RNAcentral.